This 551-nucleotide ribosomal RNA is filed under the name Pichia kudriavzevii. RNAcentral's name for it is "partial large subunit ribosomal RNA". The record is from RNAcentral. Lineage: Eukaryota; Fungi; Ascomycota; Pichiomycetes; Pichiales; Pichiaceae.
AGCGGAGGAAAAGAAACCAACAGGGAUUGCCUCAGUAGCGGCGAGUGAAGCGGCAAGAGCUCAGAUUUGAAAUCGUGCUUUGCGGCACGAGUUGUAGAUUGCAGGUUGGHGUCUGUGUGGAMGGCGGUGUCCAAGUCCCUUGGAACAGGGCGCCCAGGAGGGUGAGAGCCCCGUGGGAUGCCGGCGGAAGCAGUGAGGCCCUUCUGACGAGUCGAGUUGUUUGGGAAUGCAGCUCCAAGCGGGUGGUAAAUUCCAUCUAAGGCUAAAUACUGGCGAGAGACCGAUAGCGAACAAGUACUGUGAAGGAAAGAUGAAAAGCACUUUGAAAAGAGAGUGAAACAGCACGUGAAAUUGUUGAAAGGGAAGGGUAUUGCGCCCGACAUGGGGAUUGCGCACCGCUGCCUCUCGUGGGCGGCGCUCUGGGCUUUCCCUGGGCCAGCAUCGGUUCUUGCUGCAGGAGAAGGGGUUCUGGAACGUGGCUCUUCGGAGUGUUAUAGCCAGGGCCAGAUGCUGCGUGCGGGGACCGAGGACUGCGGCCGUGUAGGUCACGG